This 4984-nucleotide long non-coding RNA is filed under the name Homo sapiens (human). RNAcentral's name for it is "HSALNT0354952". The stretch from base 3325 to 3441 matches the Rfam family "Metazoan signal recognition particle RNA". The record is from RNAcentral. Lineage: Eukaryota; Metazoa; Chordata; Mammalia; Primates; Hominidae.
CUGGCCCUCCUUCCUCUCCCCUUUAGGUCUUGCUGAUUUCUGUCCUCCAGGUCUUCUCAGUAGAAUGAGGAUAAUCCUGAAUUCAGAACAUAUUUCCUGAGUACGGUGAGUGCCCAGGAGAUGGGGGCUGAGAGCUGGCUCCUGCGCUCCUGAGAGCACAGUUUCCUGGGCAGGAGCAGAGAGAAGGCCCAGAGGAAGAUGGGAGGGAGGCAAGGCAAAGGAUGCUGUGGGGAGAGCCCAGAGCUGGGCCGCAGGCCUGAGACCCCUCUGCUGUCCAGUUACAUCGUGGAGAGGACCAUAACAACUGUGACCUUGUGAAAUUCUUCCCAGUGUGCUAAGUCGGUUUUUUUGUUUGUUUUUGUUUUUGUUUGAGAUGGAGCCACGGCUGGAGUCCAGUGGUGCGAUCUCAGCUCAUUGCAACCUCCACUUCCCGGGUUCAAGUGAUUCUCAUGCCUCAGCCUCCCGAGUAACUGGGAUGACAGGUGCAUGCCACUACACCCGGGUAAUUUUUGUAUUUUUAGUACAGAUGGGGUUUCACCAUGUUGGCCAGGCUGGUCUCGAACUCCUGGCCUCAAGUGAUCCGCCCGCCUCGGCCUCCCAAAGUGCUGGGAUUACAGGCGUGAGCCACUGCACUCGGCCGAGCCUGGUUUUCUACCUAUGCUACCUACUUUCUCCAAGGAUGCCCUGCUCUGGAAAUCUUCAAGGGAAUGCCUUUUACCUUAAAGUAGCUCCCCUUCCUCCCUGUCAGGCAUCUUUGCAUAACUCUGAAGAGUUUUGAAGAUGCAAAGUCCUUCCUCUCUGCCCAUUCAGGGAAGCUUCUGGCCGCCCUCGGGGCUGGCAAUGAGGGCAUCCGCGGAUGGCACCUGGCCCACUCAUCAAAUGGCAGCUACCCUCUCUCGUGAUGAUUGUCAGCAUCUAGUGUGAAAGAUGGGAAGAGCCUACAUCAAUUCUUUUUUUUUUUUUUCUUUAAGAGAUGUAAUUGCCCAGGCUGGUCUUGAACUCCUAGACUCAAGCCAUCUGCCUGCCUCAGCCUCCUAAAAUGCUGGGAUUACAGGUGUGUGCCCCCAAGCCCAGCCUGCACUGGAUUCUCAUUCUGAUGUUACAAGGUGGAUGGGGCCAUGAUAGAGGUUUGAGCCAGCAGGGAGGGUGUGGCACGAGGCCUGAUGGCUUCUUGGAGGAGGAGGUGUUUGAACUAGGCCAUCGGAGACAGAACAGAUUCACUGGGAAAGUAGCUGUGUGUGCCAGGUGCACCAGCCGGGCUGCCAAGUGCUGAUUUGUAGAAAUUCUCUGGGGGGUUCUCUGAGUGAGGAAGAAGGAUCCAUGGGGCCUGGGCAAGGCUAGAAGUGAUAGCCUGGGAAACAGUCUCAGGAGUACAGUUUCUUCCUUUUUCUCUUACUUGUUGAAGCCUAAUUUACAUAUUAUCAAAUGCACCAGUCGCAAUGAGUUUUAAAAAUGUUUUGGCAGCUUUAUGUAAGUAUAACUGACAGAUAACCCACACUCAUUCAAAAUGUACAAUUUGACCAGGCACGGCAGCUCAUGCCUGUAAUCCCAAUACUUUAGGAGGCCGAGACAGGUGGAUCACCUGAGGUCGGGAGUUUGAGACCAGCCUGGCCAAUAUGGUGAAACCCCGUCUUUACUAAAAAUACAAAAAUUAGCCAGGCGUGGUGGCACAUGCCUGUAAUCCCAGCUACUCAGGAGGCUGAGGCAGGAGAAUCACUUGAACCCGGGAGGCAGAGGUUGCAGUGAGCAGAGAUUGCACCAUUGCACUCCAACCUGGGCGACAAGAGUGAAAUUCCGUCUCAAAAAAAAAGUAAAAUUUGAUGAUUUGGGGCAGAUGUGUCCAUCCAUAGAACCAUCGCCACAGUCAAGAUAAUGAAUAUAUGUAUCACCCCCAAAGUUUCCUCUCUCCCCAUGUAAUCCGUCCCUCCCUCUCUCCCUGUGUAAUCCCUCCCUCCCUCUCUCCCCAUGUAAUCCUUCCCUUCCUCUCGUUCCAUGUAAUCCCUCCCUCCCUCUCAUCCCAUGUAAUCCCUCCCUCCCUCUCUCCCCAUGUAAUCCCUCCCUCCCUCUCUCCCCAUGUAAUCCUUCCCUCCUUCUCUCCCUAUGUAAUCCCUCCCUCCCUCCCCAUGCAAUCCCUCCCACCCUCUCAUCCCAUGUAAUCCCUCCCUCCCUCUCUCCCCAUGUAAUCCCUCCCUCCCUCUCUCCCCAUGUAAUCCCUCCCUCCCUCUCAUCCCAUGUAAUCCCUCUCUCCCUCCCUCAGGCAACCACUAUGCUGAUUUCCAUCACUAUAGAUUAGCUGCUAUUUUCUAGAAUUUUAUAGAAAUUGAAUAAUAUAGUAUUACUCUUUUUUAUCUAGCUUUUUAAAAAAAACUCAUCAUUAUGGCAGGGCACAGUGGCUCAUGCCUGUAAUCCCAGCACUUUGGGAGGCCAAGGCUGGCAGAUCACUUGAGUUCAGGAGCUCAAGAUCAGCCUGGCCAACAUGGCGAAACCCCAUCUCUACUAAAAAUACAAAAAUUAGCUGGGUGUGGUGAUGUGCACCUGUAGUCCCAGCUACUCCAGAGGCAGGAGAAUUGCUUGAAUCCAGGAGGCGGAGGUUGCAAUGAGCGGAGAUAGUGCCACUGCACUCCAGCCUGGGCGACAGAGCAAGAUGCUGUUUCAAAAACAAAAACAAAACAAAACAAACCAACAAAAAACAGAAAAAGUCAAAUAAAACACUUGUGAGCAUUUGUGCAUACCUUGAUGAGGUUUUAAUCUGUAUAUACAGGCGUAUAACCAUCACCCGGGUCAAGACAUGAAACAUUUCCUGGACCCAGAAAGCUCUCCUGUUUCAGGCCAUAUUGCUUCAACUAUUUUGACUCUUAUCACAAUAAGUCAGUUUCAUUCCAUUUAUAUUAAGUUUAUAGAAUUUCAUGCAUAUGUAAUUUUUGUUUUUUUUUAGACAGGGUCUCACUCUGUCAACCAGGCUGGAUUGUGGUGGCACAAUCAUGGUUCACUGCAGUCUCAGCCUCCCCAGUUUGAGUGAUCUUCCCACCUCAGUCCUCCCAGACUCAAGCAAUCCUCCCAUCCUCUCAGCCUCCCGAGUAGCUGGGACUAUAGUCAUGCACCAGCAUGCCCUGCUAAGUUUUUUAUUUUUUGUACAGACAGGGUCUCACUAUGUUGUCCAGUCUUGAACUCCUGGGCUUAAGCAAUCCUCCUGCCUCGGCCUCCCAAAGUGCUGGGAUUAUAAGCACCAGCCACCAUGCCCAGCCAAUAACUUCUAUAAAUGGAAUUAAACUCUUUGCAUAUGAUUUCUUAUGGAAAAAAAAAUGGAAUUAAAGAACAACGCAGGCCAGGCAUGGUGGCUCAUGCCUGUAAUCCCAGCACUUUGGGAGGCUGAGGUGGGUGGAUCACCUGAGGUCAGGAGUUCGAGACCAGCCUGACCAACAUGGUGAAAACCCGCCUCUACUAAAAAUACGAGAAUUAGCCAGGCAUGGUGGCGCAUGCCUGUAAUCCCAGUUACUCCGGAGGCUGAGGCAGGAGAAUCACUUGACCCCGGGAGGCAGAGGUUGAAAUGAGCCGAGAUUGCCCCAUUGCACUCCAGCCUGGGUGACAAGAGCGAAACUCUGUCUCAAAAAAAAAAAGAACAAUGCAAUCUAUUUUUUUGUGUCUAGCUUUUUUUGCAUCACACUAUGUGUCUGUGAUUGACCCGUGUUGUUGCCUGUAUUAGUUUGUUUCUUUUAUUGCUGUUUAGGGUUCCACUGUACAGAUCCACCACAAGGUGUUUACCCAUUCUCCUUCUGAUGGACACUUGGGUUACUUCCAGUUUUGGCUAUUAUAAACAAAGAUGCUAUGAACAUUUGUAUACAAGUCUUUUUAUGGACACAUAUUUUCAUUCUCCUGGGUAAACAGCUAGGAGUGGAAUUUCUGGUUCAUAGAGGAAGUGUUCUUAUUACUAGAAACUGUCAAACACUUUUUCAAAAUGUUUCUACCAUUUUACACCCUCACAAACAAUGUAUGAGAGUUCCAGUUGCUCCACAUUCUUGCCAACAUUUUUGCUCCACAUUCUUGCCAACAUUUGGUAUUGUCAGACCUUUAAUUUUAACCUUUCUGGUGAUAAGCAGCGGUAUUUCAUGGUGGUUUUGUUUUACAUUUCCCUUAUGACUAAUGACUAAUGUUGUAGACCAUUGUUUCAUAUACUUACUAUACUUAAAAAAAUUUAAGCUUUCUGGGCCAGGUGCAGUGGCUUACGCCUGUAAUCCCAGCACUUUGGGAGGCCAAGGCAGGCAGAUCACGAGGUCAGGAGAUCAAGACCAUCCUGGCUAAUGCGGUGAAACUCCGUCUCCACUAAAAAAAAAAAAAAAAUACAAAAAAUUAGCCGGGCGUGGUGGCGGGUGCCUGUACUCCUAGCUACUCCAGAGACUGAGGCAGGAGAAUGGCAUGAACCCGGGAGGCAGAGCUUGCAGUGAGCCGAGAUUGCGCCACUGCACUCCAUCCUGGGUGACAGGGCAAGACUCUGUCUCAAAAAAAAAAAGUUAAGCUUUCUGUUAUUUAUUUUACAAGUAAAACAUGCUGUGCAUGCUUUGUAAUCCCAAUGUUUUGGGAAGAGGCCAGUGUUUAACACAAGCCUGGGCAAGAUCCCACCUCUACAAAAAAAAAAAAAAAAAUUAGCCUGGUAUGGUGGCAACUGUAGUCCCAGCUACUCAGGAGGCUGAGGUGGGAGAAUCACUUGAGCCCAGGAGUUCAAGGCUGCUGUGAGCUGUGGUUGCGCCACUGCACUCCAGCCUGGGUGACAGUGAGAUCCUAUCUUAAAAAAAAAAAAAAAGUAAAACAUGCUUAAUGUAAGACAUUAAGACAUUGGCUGAGUGCAGUGGCUCACACCUGUAAGCCCAGCACUUUGGGAGGCCGAGGCAGAUGGAUCACGAGGUCAAGAGAUGGAGACCAUCCUGGCCAACAUGAUGAAACCCCAUCUCUACUAAAAAUACAUAACUUAGCCAGGCGUGGUGGCGGG